UUACGGCCAUAUAAUGUUGAAACACCAAGUCCCGUACGAUCACCGAAGUUAAGCAACGUCGGGCCUGGUUAGUAUCUAGAUGGGUAACUUUUGGAAAUACCAGGUGUUGUAAG
This is a non-coding RNA of Acanthosepion pharaonis, 113 nucleotides long. The record is from the annotation of a GenBank genome assembly. NCBI's taxonomy places the organism in Eukaryota, Metazoa, Mollusca, Cephalopoda, Sepiida, Sepiidae.